Brassica oleracea var. oleracea is the source of this 3362-nucleotide RNA transcript. It is a transcript of the gene named SCY1-like protein 2, with no coding region annotated. Lineage: Eukaryota; Viridiplantae; Streptophyta; Magnoliopsida; Brassicales; Brassicaceae. The record is from RefSeq and is a predicted model, not a curated record. The transcript has 15 exons.
GGGGACGAAAAAAAGGAAAAGGAGAAAAAUCAACUCACAGGAAGAAGACGAUCUUCAAUUCUGCUUUCAUCUUUCAUCCUCUUCGGAAUACAGAUUACGUUUCGCUUCGUUCAUCGAAUUCGCUUCUCGCCGAUCACCGUUUCUCGCCGUCGUCUUAAAGGUUCGAGCGGCGGUUGAUUCCGGCAAAAAUGUCGAUUAACAUGAGAACGCUAACCCAAGCUCUAGCCAAAACCGCCGCGGUGAUUGAGAAGACGGUCCAAACCACAGUCCAGGAGGUUACAGGUCCCAAGCCUCUUCAGGACUACGAGCUUCUCUAUCAGAUCGGUUCCGGUGGUCCUGGCCUCGCCUGGAAGCUCUACUCGGCCAAGGCGCGUGACUCCACGCGGCCUCAGCAGUACCCAACCGUCUGCGUCUGGGUGCUUGACAAGCGCGCCUUAUCUGAGGCUCGCGCCAGAGCGGGAUUGUCCAAAGCUGCAGAAGACUCGUUUCUCGAUCUGAUUCGCGCUGACGCGGGGAAGCUGGUGCGGUUGAGACACCCCGGUGUGGUCCACGUGGUUCAAGCGCUUGAUGAGAACAAGAAUGCUAUGGCUAUGGUUACGGAACCACUAUUCGCCUCAGUGGCUAACGCGCUUGGUGAUGUUGAGAAUGUGGAUAACGUGCCGAAAGAUCUCAAGUCCAUGGAGAUGAGCUUGUUGGAGGUGAAGCACGGUCUACUUCAAAUGGCAGAGACGUUGAACUUUCUUCAUAAUAACGCGCAUCUCAUACAUCGUGCUGUUUCUCCUGAGAAUGUUCUUAUUACUUCGGCUGGUUCCUGGAAGUUUGCUGGAUUUGGCUUUGCUAUUUCAGAAGCACAAGCUGGGAAUUUGGAUAACAUGCAAUCAUUCCACUACGCUGAAUAUGAUGUUGAAGACUCGAUUUUGCCACUCCAACCAUCUUUAAACUAUACUGCACCUGAAUUGGUGCGGAGCAAAACUCCAUCAGCUGGAGCUUCUUCUGAUAUUUUUAGUUUCGGAUGCCUCGCCUAUCAUUUAGUUGCACGGAAACCAUUGUUUGAUUGCCACAACAAUGUCAAGAUGUACAUGAACACAUUGAACUAUUUAACCAACGAAACUUUCUCAUCUAUACCCUCGGACUUGGUAUCUGAUUUGCAACGGAUGCUAUCAACGAACGAGUCCUUUAGACCAACAGCAUUAGAUUUCACAGGAUCUAAUUUUUUCAGAAGCGACACUAGGUUACGUGCCCUCCGUUUCCUUGAUCAUAUGCUUGAACGAGACAACAUGCAAAAGUCUGAGUUCUUAAAAGCACUAUCAGAUAUGUGGAAAGAUUUUGAUUCCCGUGUAUUACGGUAUAAGGUGCUUCCACCUCUUUGUGCUGAACUUAGGAAUUUGGUUAUGCAGCCAGUGAUUCUUCCUAUGGUUCUAACUAUCGCAGAGUCUCAGGACAAGAAUGACUUUGAGUUGACAACGCUCCCAGCUCUUGUUCCUGUUUUGAGUUCUGCUACGGGUGAUACUCUGUUGUUGCUUGUAAAGCGUGCAGAUCUUAUAAUUAACAAGACUAAUACAGAGCAUCUUGCAUCGCAUAUUCUCCCUUUGCUUCUCCGAGCCUACAAUGACAACGAUGUCCGGAUACAAGAGGAAGUUCUGAAAAGAUCUACAUCUGUUGCCAAACAACUUGAUGGCCAGGUGGUAAGGCAAGCAAUUUUGCCUCGUGUUCAUGGCUUGGCUCUCAAAACCACAGUUGCUGCUGUCAGAGUAAAUGCUUUGCUCUGCUUAGCAGAGUUGGUUCAAGCGCUUGAUAAACACGCUGUUACUGAAAUUUUGCAAACAAUUCAGCGCUGUACUGCUGUCGAUCGUUCUGCACCUACGCUUAUGUGUACUCUUGCAGUCGCAAACGCAAUUCUCAAGCAGUAUGGAGUUGAAUUCACUGCUGAACACGUGCUUCCCCUGAUUAUACCGCUUCUCACUGCCCAACAAUUGAACGUCCAACAGUUUGCUAAAUAUAUGCUAUUUGUGAAGGAUAUUCUCAGGAAAAUAGAGGAGAAAAGAGGAGUUACAGUCAACGAUUCUGGAGUUCCAGAAGUUAAACCAGGCUCUGUUGCAGAUGGGAUCCAGUUUCCAACACCAACCCAAAAAAUUGAGGUGGUGGCUUCUGCAGCAAAGAACAGUCCUGCAUGGGAUGAAGAUUGGACCCUCCCCACCAAAAGUUCUGUUUCGAGAGAUCCGGCACCCGCAAACUCCCAGUUUAACAAUUCAACAGUUCAGUCACAGCCAUCGAACAGGACAGCAGUGCCAACAACAUGCCCUCCUGUUGAUAUAGAGUGGCCACCAAGACAACCUUCCAAUGUCACUUCUUCUCAGUCAGCCAAUGAUGAAGCACGGCUAAACUCAGGAGGAACAUCAUCAACUCCAAGUUUUGAUGAACUAGACCCUUUUGCUAAUUGGCCACCACGAGCUAACAGUGCGUCCAUUGCUUCUGGGGGUUUCCACAACGGUACCGCCGCCACUCGACCCCCACCGAACAACAGUGGUUCUAGUUUGAGCAACAAUAUAACAGGCAUGAAGCAGUUUCCAACAGCUAACAACGACUUCUGGGCCUUUGGCAAUGCCUCCGUCUCUUCUCAAGGGGGUUCCGGUAUCAGUGCAGGUAACCAAGAUCCUAUGAACUCUUUUGGGAUUCAAAAUCAGAACCAAGGAAUGCCGUCGUCUUUCGGAAGCAGUUCAUACAGUAACCAAAAGCCGCCAGCAGACAUCAGUUCCAUAUUCAAGUCAAGCAAAACUGAGCAAGCUGCAAUGAGACUCGCACCACCACCUUCGACAGCCGUGGGAAGAGGAAGGGGAAGGGGUAGAACUGGGACAUCUACGUCAAGGUCAAGUGGUUCGAAGCAGCAACAAACUGAGCAGGCAUCGCUGUUGGAUCUGUUGUGAUGAAAUCGUUGGUUGAGACAACAUUGGGUUUGGUCAAAAACAUUUUCAGUGAGUGAGUUGGUCAUUUGUUUUGUUAAUUCUCCAGGCUACAUUCAACCAUCUAUUAUUAUACAUCACAGCCACAGAUCGCCUAUUUCCGGUCUCCUUGCCGCCGUUCACUCUCACUCGCCGUUCAAUUUCGAGAGUGGUUGGUCUAAGACCCUGCGCGCGAAAAGCAGUAACGAGUAAGGUUAUUCAAGUAUAAACAUGAAUGGUACGUCCUGAUUAAUGGAACUAUUUAGAAAGCCCAGCUUCGGCUCUUGUCUAGUUAAGGAUGAUAUCAGAAAGACACAGAAGCAACGAAUUUUAUUUAUGUUGUGAAUUAAUAUUCUUCAAGAUUCCAAAGAAUUCCCGAAUAUCUGAUUGUAGGUUUGAUUAAAUAAUGGGUUGGUAAAUUAC